This 301-nucleotide ribosomal RNA is filed under the name uncultured bacterium. RNAcentral's name for it is "partial 16S ribosomal RNA". It matches the Rfam family "Bacterial small subunit ribosomal RNA", at positions 509 to 807 of the family's 1533-position model. The record is from RNAcentral.
CAGUCGCCACGGUAAUACGUAGGGUGCAAGCGUUAAUCGGAAUUACUGGGCGUAAAGCGUGCGCAGGCGGUUCGUUAAGACAGAUGUGAAAUCCCCGGGCUUAACCUGGGAACUGCAUUUGUGACUGGCGGGCUAGAGUAUGGCAGAGGGGGGUAGAAUUCCACGUGUAGCAGUGAAAUGCGUAGAGAUGUGGAGGAAUACCGAUGGCGAAGGCAGCCCCCUGGGCCAAUACUGACGCUCAUGCACGAAAGCGUGGGGAGCAAACAGGAUUAGAUACCCCUGUAGUCCCUGUCUCUUAUAC